Molecule: ribosomal RNA, 341 nt
Filed under: uncultured bacterium
Lineage: Bacteria
Description: bacterial SSU rRNA
Rfam family: Bacterial small subunit ribosomal RNA
Source: RNAcentral
GUAGGGUGCAAGCGUAAUCGGAAUUACUGGCCUAAACUCGCGCAAGGCGGUUCGGAAAGAAAGAUGUGAAAUCCCAGAGCUUAACUUUGGAACUGCAUUUUUAACUACCGAGCUAGAGUGUGUCAGAGGGAGGUGGAAUUCCGCGUGUAGCAGUGAAAUGCGUAGAUAUGCGGAGGAACACCGAUGGCGAAGGCAGCCUCCUGGGAUAACACUGACGCUCAUGCACGAAAGCGUGGGGAGCAAACAGGAUUAGAUACCCUGGUAGUCCACGCCCUAAACGAUGUCAACUAGCUGUUGGGCUUCGGGCCUUGGUAGCGCACKAACGCGUGAAGUUGACCGCC